This is a long non-coding RNA of Prunus persica (peach), 1573 nucleotides long. RefSeq lists it as uncharacterized. The transcript is spliced from 4 exons. NCBI's taxonomy places the organism in Eukaryota, Viridiplantae, Streptophyta, Magnoliopsida, Rosales, Rosaceae. The record is from RefSeq and is a predicted model, not a curated record.
AAAAUGCCACCUUUUUUAUAAUUUUAACUAAAAAUACCAUCCCUUCCCAAUUUUUUUACAACUACCACCUAUAAAUACAUUUUUAUUGUGGAAUUAUUGUACCCAUUUCAGUUUUUCAAAAAUUGGGUUCUCUCUCAACUCUCUUGGCUCUAUCUCUCUUCAGCCCUUCUCUCUCCCUCGUGUAACUCUCUCUCUCUCCGACGCAAUCGUCUUUCUCCCUCAGCGGUGGCUAUUCAUCCAAGCUUAACUCCACGAUUCACAUCCACGAGAUGUUCACAUAUUAACUGGUGAAAAUAAUUGAACAGAGAAAAUCCAAUGAUGCAGAAGUCGAGUCACUGCGAGAGGAAUACCAUCAAAGGGUUGCAACACUUGAAAGGAAGGUGUAUGCUCUUACAAAGGAAAGGGACACGCUUCGGCGGGAGCAGAAUAAGAAAAGUGAUGCAGCUGCUCUUCUGAAGGAAAAGGAUGAAAUAAUUAAUCAAGUUAUGGCUGAAAGUCUCUUUCUGUCCCUGUCUGUCUCUGUUUCUCUUGAGAAGCUCAAUAUGUUCUACAUAUUUUGUGCCUCAUAGUGAAUUUCCGUUACUUGUAAAUCAUGAUUUCUUUAGCGUAUUUAAUUGCAUUGUGUUUUUCGUUUCGGGUAGAACAGAGUUUUCAAUGAUAGGAUUUAUUUGGAAAAAAGGAAUUCUGGUAGUUAUGCUGUGUUCUCUAUUUUUGCAUGAAAGUUGAAAGUAAGAUGUCCCAUCUAUAUGUGUGACAGCUUCAGGAUUAUGGCCUUCGUCUACUGAAAGGAAAUUGCUAUUUGAUCCUGUUAUAUCUUUUAUGGGACAAACAAAUGAGGGAAGUAGUGUUGAUUCAUCACAGAAAGCUGAGUCUUCAGAGCAUCCGCCAAAGGUUGACAAAUCAUCAGGGGAAUCUGAAUCUCCACAAAAACUCUCUACUGUUGAGGCAAAGGAAGGGGUCAAAACAGAAACUUUACAACACUCUUCAACUGAACAGAUGGCUGAUAAGGAGGAAACUGAAGUUGUCAAGGAAGAAACAGAUGAUAAGCAUGCUGCGACGGUGGAGGAAACAGAGACUGUGGUAGCAGAGCCUGAAAAAUCUGAAUCUGAAUCUGAAAAAUAGAAAAUCUAUAUGAUGGGGGUUUUCUGGCUAGCUAAAAAUCUAUUAUAAUGGCAAAACCAGCAGGUGGCCCUAGUGAGAGAGAUCAGCAUGCAGGGAUGGAUGAGGACUAAUUUUGUGUGUAUGACAAUUGACUAUCUUUGCUUGUAUUGCUCUAUGUUAGGGAUCUUUUGUUCCAUUUUAGUAACAAUUUUGUUUAGGAGAAAAAGAAACAUAUUGCAGUUCAUGCUUUGUAAAUGCCAUCUUCUGUUAUGAUGGACACGUGGUAUGCUCUUGUUGGGUAGGUUUUGGAUUGAAACCAUGGUCGAGUGCUUGAGCCAUGUUUAGUGUGAAGCUUGAAUGGAUUUUCUUUUCUGUUGUAUUUGGCCCUUGUCUUUUCAAGCAUGCCAAAAAUCAUCCUAGUUUUGUAAUAUGUGGUUUGUGUCCAAUUAAUUUACUGUGGACCUUGCAUUUU